UGGGGAAUAUUGCGCAAUGGGCGCAAGCCUGACGGAGCGACGCCGCGUGAAGGAUGAAGGCCCUUACGGGUCGUAAACUUCUGUUCUGAGGGACGAAAUUUUUUGACGGUACCUCAAGAGAAAGUAUCGGCAAACCCUGUGCCAGCAGCCGCGGUAAGGCAGGGGAUACAAGCGUUACUCGGAAUUACUGGGCGUAAAGCGUCUGUAGGUGCUUUGGUAAGUCUGUGGUAAAAGCUCGGGGCUCAACCCCGAGAGCGUCAUGGAAACUACCGAAGUUGAGCAGUAGAGAGGCAUCUGGAAUGCCGCAUGUAGGAGUAAAAUCCGUAGAUAUGCGGUAGAACGCCAAAAGCGUAGGCAGGAUGCUAGCUACUUGCUGACACUGAGAGACGAAAGCGUGGGGAGCGAAGCGGAUUAGAUACCCCCGUAGUCCCUGAGCGGGCUGGCAAGGCGCAU
This 453-nucleotide ribosomal RNA is filed under the name uncultured bacterium. Its description in RNAcentral is "bacterial SSU rRNA". It matches the Rfam family "Bacterial small subunit ribosomal RNA", at positions 355 to 825 of the family's 1533-position model. The record is from RNAcentral.